GAUGAACGCUGGCGGCGUGCCUAAUACAUGCAAGUCGAGCGAACAGAUAAGGAGCUUGCUCCUUUGACGUUAGCGGCGGACGGGUGAGUAACACGUGGGUAACCUACCUAUAAGACUGGGAUAACUUCGGGAAACCGGAGCUAAUACCGGAUAACAUUUUGAACCGCAUGGUUCUAAAGUGAAAGAUGGUUUUGCUAUCACUUAUAGAUGGACCCGCGCCGUAUUAGCUAGUUGGUAAGGUAACGGCUUACCAAGGCAACGAUACGUAGCCGACCUGAGAGGGUGAUCGGCCACACUGGAACUGAGACACGGGCCAGACUCCUACGGGAGGCAGCAGUAGGGAAUCUUCCGCAAUGGGCGAAAGCCUGACGGAGCAACGCCGCGUGAGUGAUGAAGGGUUUCGGCUCGUAAAACUCUUUUAUUAGGGAAGAACAAACGUGUAAGUAACUGUGCACGUCUUGACGGUACCUAAUCAGAAAGCCACGGCUAACUACGUG
Molecule: ribosomal RNA, 497 nt
Filed under: uncultured bacterium
Lineage: Bacteria
Description: partial 16S ribosomal RNA
Rfam family: Bacterial small subunit ribosomal RNA
Source: RNAcentral